GACGAACGCUGGCGGCACGCUUAACACAUGCAAGUCGAACGAGAGGAGAGAAGCUUGCUUUUCUGAUCUAGUGGCGGACGGGUGAGUAACACGUGAGCAAUCUGCCUUUCAGAGGGGGAUACCGAUUGGAAACGAUCGUUAAUACCGCAUAACAUAAUUUAACCGCAUGAGUUGAUUAGCAAAGAUUGAUCGUUGCAAGAUGAUCUGGCGUCUGCUUAGCUAGUUGGUAAGGUAACGACUUACCAAGUGGCCGAGCAGAAGCCGGACUGAGGGGUUGAUCGCCCACAUUCUGAGUGAGGCACCGGACGGACUCCUUCGGGAGGCGGCAGAGGGGAAUCUUGCACACGGGAGGUAACUCUGAUGCAGCGAUGCAGCGUGAGGGAAUGAGGUUUUGGGAAUGUAAACCUCUGUCUUAAGGGACGAAAAAUGACGGUACCUGAGGAGGAAGCUCCGGCUAACUACGUG
RNAcentral lists this ribosomal RNA (465 nucleotides) under uncultured bacterium. RNAcentral's name for it is "partial 16S ribosomal RNA". It matches the Rfam family "Bacterial small subunit ribosomal RNA", at positions 28 to 507 of the family's 1533-position model. The record is from RNAcentral.